This 133-nucleotide ribosomal RNA is filed under the name uncultured bacterium. RNAcentral describes it as "partial 16S ribosomal RNA". The record is from RNAcentral.
CGUAGUUAGCCGUCUCUUCUUCCUGGCUUACUGUCCUUUCUCUUCAGCCAGAAAAGUCCUUUACAAUCCGAAGACCUUCAUCGGACACGCGGCGUUGCUGCCUCAGACUUUCGUCCAUUGGGCAAUAUUCCUU